UGGGCCUACGGGAGGCAGCAGUGGGGAAUAUUGCACAAUGGGGGAAACCCUGAUGCAGCAACGCCGCGUGAGUGAAGAAGGUUUUCGGAUUGUAAAGUUUUGUUAGCAGGGAAGAGGAAGGACGGUACCUGCAGAGGAAGCCACGGCUAACUACGUGCAAGCAGCCGCGGUAAUACGUAGGGGGCAAGCGUUGUUCGGAAUAACUGGGCGUAAAGGAUGCGUAGCAGGUUAA
Molecule: ribosomal RNA, 232 nt
Filed under: uncultured bacterium
Lineage: Bacteria
Description: partial 16S ribosomal RNA
Rfam family: Bacterial small subunit ribosomal RNA
Source: RNAcentral